UGUGUGUAUAUAUAUGUAUGUAUGUGUAUGUGUGUGUGUGUGUGUGUGUAUAUAUAUACAUACAUAUAUAUAUACAUAUAUAUACACAUAUAUA
Molecule: microRNA precursor, 94 nt
Filed under: Chlorocebus sabaeus (green monkey)
Lineage: Eukaryota; Metazoa; Chordata; Mammalia; Primates; Cercopithecidae
Description: miRNA (ENSCSAG00000020925.1)
Source: RNAcentral